RNAcentral lists this ribosomal RNA (252 nucleotides) under uncultured bacterium. Its description in RNAcentral is "partial 16S ribosomal RNA". It matches the Rfam family "Bacterial small subunit ribosomal RNA", at positions 524 to 776 of the family's 1533-position model. The record is from RNAcentral.
UACGUAGGUCCCGAGCGUUAUCCGGAUUUAUUGGGCGUAAAGCGAGCGCAGGCGGUUAGAUAAGUCUGAAGUGAAAGGCUGUGGCUUAACCAUAGUAUGCUUUGGAAACUGGGAAACUUGAGUGCAGAAGAGGACAGUGGAACUCCAUGUGUAGCGGUGAAAUGCGUAGAUAUAUGGAAGAACACCAGUGGCGAAGGCGGCUGUCUGGUCUGUAACUGACGCUGAGGCUCGAAAGUAUGGGUAGCAAACAGG